This 495-nucleotide ribosomal RNA is filed under the name uncultured bacterium. RNAcentral's name for it is "partial 16S ribosomal RNA". It matches the Rfam family "Bacterial small subunit ribosomal RNA", at positions 29 to 507 of the family's 1533-position model. The record is from RNAcentral.
UACGAACGCUGGCGGCGUGCCUAAUACAUGCAAGUAGAACGCUGAAGGAGGAGCUUGCUCUUCUGGAUGAGUUGCGAACGGGUGAGUAACGCGUAGGUAACCUGCCUGGUAGCGGGGGAUAACUAUUGGAAACGAUAGCUAAUACCGCAUAAGAGUGGAUGUUGCAUGACAUUUGCUUAAAAGGUGCAAUUGCAUCACUACCAGAUGGACCUGCGUUGUAUUAGCUAGUUGGUGGGGUAACGGCUCACCAAGGCGACGAUACAUAGCCGACCUGAGAGGGUGAUCGGCCACACUGGGACUGAGACACGGCCCAGACUCCUACGGGGGGCAGCAGUAGGGAAUCUUCGGCAAUGGACGGAAGUCUGACCGAGCAACGCCGCGUGAGUGAAGAAGGUUUUCGGAUCGGAAAGCUCUGUUGUAAGAGAAGAACGAGUGUGAGAGUGGAAAGUUCACACUGUGACGGUAUCUUACCAGAAAGGGACGGCUAACUACGUG